GUGCCGCAGCAGCCGACGCAUGCUUGCAGCUGUGUUCCGUAAGUGUUGUGUGGUGUUCCCUAGCAUUUAGGUUUCUCGUGUGUUGCAUGUGGCGUUGGUUGUUUGCAAUACUGCUGCGUUGGAAGCUUCCUCUACGGAUACACGCUGUAAAGACUUGGAAAAGUGCCCACACCGGAGCACGUUGUUGCGCGCCGAGCCGCAAUGGUGAACUGCGCCGUCUACGGUUGUUCCAACCGGUCAAAAAACAAACCCAACGAUGAGAACUUUCAACCGCUGGGCUUCUAUGUCGUGCCCAAAGUCAAAGAAGGACAGUGUCUUAGGACAGCUGAGCUGUCUUCAAGGCGCAGAGCUCUGUGGCUGAGCAGAAUUCGUCGCAAAGACCUGGACGAAUUGGCGACGCAUUACCGAGUUUGCGGGGCGCAUUUCAUCACAGGACGACCAGCUUAUUUGAUGGAUGAGGCUAAUCCCGACUGGGCGCCGAGCCUCAAUCUCGGCUACAAGUCCACGACGCACGCUGGAAGAAGCGCAAGCGACAGGUGCAAAUUAAUUUUGUACGCAGUCAAACAAGUGAUUAUGAACUAAUCGAACUAAUUUUUUACAGGUAUAUGCGACUCAAGCAACGAAGGCGCGCGAGUUCUGCAGCCAACGCCUUUGAAUUAAGGCAGCGACCGGAGAGCGCGAGCACGAACGCGGCGCCCAUCGCUGCAGGAACGGCGGCCGAGGAGAUUUCUUUCAGUGACGAAGAAUCCCCCUCAUCAGAACAAACUGCAAUGCAACACCUUGUAGGCCAUGCAUCUCCCGAGGAGCCUUCAUGCUUGGAAUGUCCAGUUCUACAAGAAAAUCUAGCCACAGCUCAGUGCCACCUGCAAGCGGAUCUGCAGAAUAACCAAGCUUCUGCAUGCAAGUAUCGCACAGUUUUGUUUCUAGGGCUUGCAAAUCCUGUGUUCCUGCA
Molecule: long non-coding RNA, 952 nt
Filed under: Dermacentor andersoni
Lineage: Eukaryota; Metazoa; Arthropoda; Arachnida; Ixodida; Ixodidae
Description: uncharacterized LOC126540592
Source: RNAcentral